CGAACGCUGGCGGCGUGCUUAACACAUGCAAAUCGACCGGCAAGUCCCUGCUUUUGUGGGGUGCUCGAGUGGCGAACGGGUGAGUAACACGUGAGUAACCUGCCCUUGACUUUGGGAUAACUUCAGGAAACUGGGGCUAAUACCGGAUAGGAGCUCCUGCUGCAUGGUGGGGGUUGGAAAGUUUCGGCGGUUGGGGAUGGACUCGCGGCUUAUCAGCUUGUUGGUGGGGUAGUGGCUUACCAAGGCUUUGACGGGUAGCCGGCCUGAGAGGGUGACCGGCCACAUUGGGACUGAGAUACGGCCCAGACUCCUACGGGAGGCAGCAGUGGGGAAUAUUGCACAAUGGGCGGAAGCCUGAUGCAGCAACGCCGCGUGCGGGAUGACGGCCUUCGGGUUGUAAACCGCUUUCGCCUGUGACGAAGCGUGAGUGACGGUAAUGGGUAAAGAAGCACCGGCUAACUACGUG
This 466-nucleotide ribosomal RNA is filed under the name uncultured bacterium. RNAcentral's name for it is "partial 16S ribosomal RNA". It matches the Rfam family "Bacterial small subunit ribosomal RNA", at positions 30 to 507 of the family's 1533-position model. The record is from RNAcentral.